This 247-nucleotide ribosomal RNA is filed under the name uncultured bacterium. RNAcentral describes it as "partial 16S ribosomal RNA". It matches the Rfam family "Bacterial small subunit ribosomal RNA", at positions 335 to 575 of the family's 1533-position model. The record is from RNAcentral.
ACUCCUACGGGAGGCAGCAGUGGGGAAUAUUGCACAAUGGGGGAAACCCUGAUGCAGCCAUGCCGCGUGUGUGAAGAAGGCCUUCGGGUUGUAAAGCACUUUCAGUAGGGAGGAAGGUAGUGUAGUUAACACCUGCAUAUUGAUCGUNUCCUACAGAAGAAGCACCGGCUAACUCCGUGCCAGCAGCCGCGGUAAUACGGAGGGUGCGAGCGUUAAUCGGAAUUACUGGGCGUAAAGCGCAUGCAGG